Molecule: ribosomal RNA, 301 nt
Filed under: uncultured bacterium
Lineage: Bacteria
Description: partial 16S ribosomal RNA
Rfam family: Bacterial small subunit ribosomal RNA
Source: RNAcentral
CAGUAGCCGCGGGAAUACGUAGGUGGCAAGCGUUGUCCGGAAUUAUUGGGCGUAAAGGGCUCGCAGGCGGUUUCUUAAGUCUGAUGUGAAAGCCCCCGGCUCAACCGGGGAGGGUCAUUGGAAACUGGGAAACUUGAGUGCAGAAGAGGAGAGUGGAAUUCCACGUGUAGCGGUGAAGUGCGUAGAGAUGUGGAGGAACACCAGUGGCGAAGGCGACUCUCUGGUCUGUAACUGACGCUGAGGAGCGAAAGCGUGGGGAGCGAACAGGAUUAGAUACCCCUGUAGUCCCUGUCUCUUAUAC